UCUGGUUGAUCCUGCCAGUAGUCAUACGCUUGUCUCAAAGAUUAAGCCAUGCAUGUCUAAGUAUAAGCAAUUUAUACAGUGAAACUGCGAAUGGCUCAUUAAAUCAGUUAUCGUUUAUUUGAUAGUACCUUACUACUUGGAUAACCGUGGUAAUUCUAGAGCUAAUACAUGCUUAAAAUCCCGACUGUUUGGAAGGGACGUAUUUAUUAGAUAAAAAAUCAAUGUCUUCGGACUCUUUGAUGAUUCAUAAUAACUUUUCGAAUCGCAUGGCCUCGUGCUGGCGAUGGUUCAUUCAAAUUUCUGCCCUAUCAACUUUCGAUGGUAGGAUAGUGGCCUACCAUGGUUUCAACGGGUAACGGGGAAUAAGGGUUCGAUUCCGGAGAGGGAGCCUGAGAAACGGCUACCACAUCCAAGGAAGGCAGCAGGCGCGCGAAUUACCCAAUCCCGACACGGGGAGGUAGUGACAAUAAAUAACGAUACAGGGCCCUUUCGGGUCUUGUAAUUGGAAUGAGUACAAUGUAAAUACCUUAACGAGGAACAAUUGGAGGGCAAGUCUGGUA
This 560-nucleotide ribosomal RNA is filed under the name uncultured eukaryote. RNAcentral's name for it is "SSU rRNA". It matches the Rfam family "Eukaryotic small subunit ribosomal RNA", at positions 1 to 566 of the family's 1831-position model. The record is from RNAcentral.